This 1372-nucleotide ribosomal RNA is filed under the name uncultured bacterium. RNAcentral describes it as "bacterial SSU rRNA". It matches the Rfam family "Bacterial small subunit ribosomal RNA", at positions 28 to 1381 of the family's 1533-position model. The record is from RNAcentral.
GAUGAACGCUGGCGGCGUGCCUAAUACAUGCAAGUCGAGCGAACGGACGAGAAGCUUGCUUCUCUGAUGUUAGCGGCGGACGGGUGAGUAACACGUGGAUAACCUACCUAUAAGACUGGGAUAACUUCGGGAAACCGGAGCUAAUACCGGAUAAUAUUUUGAACCGCAUGGUUCAAAAGUGAAAGACGGUCUUGCUGUCACUUAUAGAUGGAUCCGCGCUGCAUUAGCUAGUUGGUAAGGUAACGGCUUACCAAGGCAACGAUGCAUAGCCGACCUGAGAGGGUGAUCGGCCACACUGGAACUGAGACACGGUCCAGACUCCUACGGGAGGCAGCAGUAGGGAAUCUUCCGCAAUGGGCGAAAGCCUGACGGAGCAACGCCGCGUGAGUGAUGAAGGUCUUCGGAUCGUAAAACUCUGUUAUUAGGGAAGAACAUAUGUGUAAGUAACUGUGCACAUCUUGACGGUACCUAAUCAGAAAGCCACGGCUAACUACGUGCCAGCAGCCGCGGUAAUACGUAGGUGGCAAGCGUUAUCCGGAAUUAUUGGGCGUAAAGCGCGCGUAGGCGGUUUUUUAAGUCUGAUGUGAAAGCCCACGGCUCAACCGUGGAGGGUCAUUGGAAACUGGAAAACUUGAGUGCAGAAGAGGAAAGUGGAAUUCCAUGUGUAGCGGUGAAAUGCGCAGAGAUAUGGAGGAACACCAGUGGCGAAGGCGACUUUCUGGUCUGUAACUGACGCUGAUGUGCGAAAGCGUGGGGAUCAAACAGGAUUAGAUACCCUGGUAGUCCACGCCGUAAACGAUGAGUGCUAAGUGUUAGGGGGUUUCCGCCCCUUAGUGCUGCAGCUAACGCAUUAAGCACUCCGCCUGGGGAGUACGACCGCAAGGUUGAAACUCAAAGGAAUUGACGGGGACCCGCACAAGCGGUGGAGCAUGUGGUUUAAUUCGAAGCAACGCGAAGAACCUUACCAAAUCUUGACAUCCUUUGACAACUCUAGAGAUAGAGCCUUCCCCUUCGGGGGACAAAGUGACAGGUGGUGCAUGGUUGUCGUCAGCUCGUGUCGUGAGAUGUUGGGUUAAGUCCCGCAACGAGCGCAACCCUUAAGCUUAGUUGCCAUCAUUAAGUUGGGCACUCUAAGUUGACUGCCGGUGACAAACCGGAGGAAGGUGGGGAUGACGUCAAAUCAUCAUGCCCCUUAUGAUUUGGGCUACACACGUGCUACAAUGGACAAUACAAAGGGCAGCGAAACCGCGAGGUCAAGCAAAUCCCAUAAGGUUGUUCUCAGUUCGGAUUGUAGUCUGCAACUCGACUACAUGAAGCUGGAAUCGCUAGUAAUCGUAGAUCAGCAUGCUACGGUGAAUACGUUCCCGGGUCU